Molecule: ribosomal RNA, 137 nt
Filed under: uncultured eukaryote
Lineage: Eukaryota
Description: partial 18S ribosomal RNA
Rfam family: Eukaryotic small subunit ribosomal RNA
Source: RNAcentral
UGGUGGAGUGAUUUGUCUGGUUGAUUCCGUUAACGAACGAGACCUCUACCUGCUAGCUGUGCCGGCGUUUGUAUUCAAGCGACGACCUCCUAGAGGGACUUUUAGUGAUUAACUAAAGGAAGCUGGAGGCAAUAACA